UGACUGCAUUGGUAAUAAGGACACCUGUACAUGCUACAGUAGCACUUUGUCCUCCUGCUUCUGUACAAACUACAGCAGUACAACUAUUCCUGCAGCAGUUAGUCCAGUCUAUGACUGUGUGCUUUAUAACGGCACCUACAUCUGCACUGGUGCUCAGUAUCGCAUGUACUGCAACAUGAGAAUGCAUUAUUUCAACUACCAGAGAUAUAGAAACCAAAACCAAUACCAGUCCCAAUGCAGUAGUAAUAACUGUUACUGCAUUGGUAAUAAGGACACCUGUACAUGCUACAGUAGCACUUUGUCCUCCUGCUUCUGUGAGAAUUAUGGCAAUAUUACCGCCAUCCCUGCAGCAGUUAGUCCAGUCACAGACCCUGACUGUGUGCUUUAUAAUGACACCUACAUCUGCACUGGUGCUCAGUAUCGCAUGUACUGCAACACAAGAAUGCAUGAUUUUUCCUUCCAGAGAUAUCAGUACCAAGACCAGUACCAGUGUGUGAAUAAUAACUGUAACUGCAUUGGUAAUAAGGACACCUGUACAUGCUAUAGGAGCACUUUGUCCUCGUGCUUCUGUGAGACUUACGGCAAUAGCAUUGCUCUCACUACAGCAGUUAGUCCAGUCUAUGACUGUGUGCUUUAUAAUGACACAUCAUACAUCUGCACUGGUGCUCAGUACCAAAUGUUCUGCAACAAAAGAAUGCAUGAGUUCAACUACCAGAGAUAUAGAAACCAAAACCAAUAUCAGUUCCAAUGUUGGAAUAAUAACUGCAACUGCAUUGGUAAUAAGGACACCUGUACAUGCUAUAGGAGCACUUUGUCCUCCUGCUUCUGCAAGACUUAUGGCAAUAUCAUUGCUCUCACUUCAACAGUUAGUCCAGCUUAUGGCUGUGAGUUAUAUAAUGGCAUAUACGUCUGCACUGGUGUUCAAUACCGCAUGUACUGCAACACAACAGUGCAUGAUUUCUACUAUCGGGGAUAUCAGAACCAAAACCAAUACCAGUAUCAUUGUGUGAAUAAUAAUUGUUACUGCAUUGGUAAUAAGGACACCUGCACAUGCUACAGCAGCACUUUGUCCUCCUGCUUCUGUGAGACUUACGGCAAUAACAUCACCAUCCCUAUAGCAGUUAGUCCACUGAGAGUCUCUCAGUGUGUGCUUUUUAAUGACACGUACAGCUGCACUGGUGCUCAGUAUCGCUUGUUCUGUGACACAAGAAUGCAUGAUUUCUACUAUCAGAGAUACCAAAACCAAGACCAGUACCAGUGUGUGUAUAAUAACUGUAACUGCAUUGGUAAUAAGGACACUUGUACAUGCUCUAGUAGCACUUUUUCCUCCUGCUUCUGUGAGACUUACGGCAAUAGCAUUGCUCUCACUACAGCAGUUAGUCCAGCUUAUGGCUGUGUGCUUUAUAAUGACACGGCAUACAUCUGCAUUGGUGCUCAGUACCAAAUGUACUGCAACACAAAUGUACAUGAUUUCCAUUAUGAUAGAUACCAUUACCACUGUUUAAAUAAUAACUGUAACUGCAUUGGUAAUAAGGACACCUGUUCAUGCUCUAGUAGCACCUUGUCCUCUUGUUUCUGUAAGACUUAUGGCAAUAGCAUUGCACUCACUACAGCAGUUAGUCCGGUCUAUGACUGUGUGCUUUAUAAUGACACGUACAUCUGCACUGGUGCUCAGUACCACAUGUAUUGCAACACAAGUAUGCAUGAUUUCCAUUACAGUAGAUACCAUUACCACUGUUUAAAUAAUAACUGUUACUGCAUUGGUAACAAGGACACCUGUUCAUGCUCUAGUAGCACUUCAUCCUCCUGCUUCUGCACAAAUCACAGCAGUGGCAUCACUAUCCCUGCAGCAGUUAGUCCGGUCUAUGACUGUGUGCUUUAUAACGACACAUACAUCUGCACUGGUGCUCAGUAUCGCAUGAUCUGCAACACAAGAAUACAUUAUUUCUACUAUUGGAGAUACAGAAACCGAAACCAAUAUGAAUAUGAAUGCUGGGGUAAUAACUGUGGCUGCAUUGGUAAUAAGGACACCUGUACAUGCUACAGCAGCACUUUAUCCUCCUGCUUCUGUGAGUCUAACAUCUUCCAAACCGCACUCAGACCAACUACUGCAGGUGCGCAUGUUUCUA
Molecule: long non-coding RNA, 2129 nt
Filed under: Sinocyclocheilus grahami
Lineage: Eukaryota; Metazoa; Chordata; Actinopteri; Cypriniformes; Cyprinidae
Description: lncRNA (ENSSGRG00000018880.1)
Source: RNAcentral